CGUCCCCGCCAUCUGGCAGGUACCUACGUGUUACUCACCCGUCCGCCACUCGUUGGCGACCAAAAUCUAUCAGGUGCAAGCACCAUCAAUCAAUUGGGCCAACGCGUUCGACUUGCAUGUAUUAGGCACACCGCCGGCGUUCAUCCUGAGCCAUGAUCAAACUCAAGGGU
This 170-nucleotide ribosomal RNA is filed under the name Limosilactobacillus fermentum. RNAcentral's name for it is "Lactobacillus fermentum partial 16S ribosomal RNA". The record is from RNAcentral. Lineage: Bacteria; Bacillati; Bacillota; Bacilli; Lactobacillales; Lactobacillaceae.